This is a long non-coding RNA of Haliotis rubra (blacklip abalone), 705 nucleotides long. RefSeq lists it as uncharacterized. The record is from RefSeq and is a predicted model, not a curated record. The transcript is spliced from 2 exons. NCBI's taxonomy places the organism in Eukaryota, Metazoa, Mollusca, Gastropoda, Lepetellida, Haliotidae.
AAUUGUUUUACAUUGCUAUGGGCAUCAUGGGUGGCACAUGUGUACUCGUCCUGGCCGUGGCUGUAAUUACCUACUUCACGCACAGGGAAUUGCCAGCUCGAGUGGAUAUAAAAAAGUUCUCGUCUUUCACGUCCAACGCCUGAUAGCCCGGACCCACAUUACGCAUUGUUAGUUGUCAGAGAAUGGAGAUGAGGACCGUUCUAGGUCACAUAGUUUUUGUGAUAAUUAUAUAUGUUCACUGACUCCAUGGUUUUGGAACACAGCGGGUACGAAUGAACCUGCUUGACUGUCAGGUUCACCAACACUGAUGAGGAUUCGGCUGUCUGUUUAUAUUCGGGCCUCAGAAGUGGAGUACGCCGGAUGGAAAUAUGCAUGUAUUUGGUACACAGAUUCAACAUUUACAAAGGAUUGAUAUUGUAAAAUUCAUAUUUGAUACCCUCGAUUUUGUUACACCAUUCAGUCUCGAAACACCAAUCACAUCUUUUUAUUUCUAAGGACGUGUAUUAUAGCUUUUUCGGGUAUGGUGCGCAUUCUGCUUUUUAGUGUGAAUCUUAAAAUUUGUUUUGAGGUUACAAUUUACGGGAGAAGACGUCAGCACUCUCACUUCUGCACUGUAGACAUACAGGAAAAGCCCUAAUGUAUGUGAUGGAACUGAUAAGGAUUACUUGCACAAGAACAGCGGAAACAGUAAAUCUGUUGAAUUUA